This 636-nucleotide small RNA is filed under the name Drosophila pseudoobscura pseudoobscura. RNAcentral describes it as "GA32916". The record is from RNAcentral. Lineage: Eukaryota; Metazoa; Arthropoda; Insecta; Diptera; Drosophilidae.
UUGAACUUGACAUUUGGUACGAUGUAAUGUUGCUGUCGCUGAAGAUGCUAGUGUGAUUCAAACAGGCAGAGAUACAUGCUCCACAGAAAUUUUGACUUACCAUUACCUAGAAAUAAUCACUGAUGAGAAUCCAAUUCUGACAAGAAAUAAGACCACCAAUCAUCAUUUGGCCAAAGAACGUAUGAUGAUAAUUACCCAAACAAUCGGAAAACGUCAAUUUUGAAAAGAACAGGACGGGUCUGCCUAAAAAGCUCUGGCUACUGAUUGCCCAAUCUACGAGUGCGAGUACUGCCAGAACCGAAGCCAUCUUCCCUUCCGUAUGCUCGUACACUUAGUGUGUGGAUCUUUUAGCAACUCGCAUGUGAAGUCUGUGGCGGCUGAUGGAUCGCCUGGGCGUUCGGACAAGGUGUUCAUCAUAGUCAGAGCUUGGCAAAUCGUGCCUCUGUUGACCUGGUUGCAUAACCGCCAGACCAUUUCCUACACCUCCAUCUCGGUCUCCACGUAGCCGCGUAGGUUGUGGCAAUUAGUCAAAUGCAUUCGCAAACAAAAAACCACAAACAGAAGCCACAAAGGCCCAGCACUUGACUCUCAUUUGCGCCUGCUGAGUGGCUUUGUCUAAUUGAAUUAGCGCUAUUU